Non-coding RNA from Camellia sinensis, 1554 nucleotides. The record is from RefSeq and is a predicted model, not a curated record. Lineage: Eukaryota; Viridiplantae; Streptophyta; Magnoliopsida; Ericales; Theaceae.
CCCUCCCCACCUCUCAUUAGCUAUCUCUCUCUCUCUUCUCUCUCAACCCCACAACCCACAAAAUCCAUAACCCACCAUCACCAUCUUGUUCUUCCUUUUUCUUUUCUUCUUCUUUCUUGUUCCUCACCACCAUCAUGUCACUGCCAGCAUCACUAUUUCCUCUCCGUCCGACGAAUCUCUAGCGACCACCAUUUUUUCCGGCGAAUCUCCAUUCUUUUUCUCUCUUUCUCCAUUUUUUUUAAGGAUAUGAGUCGACGUAUUUCCGCUCGGGCCUCCAAAAAGGCCGGAGGUUCCACCUCUUAGGCGCCACCAUCGCCACCGUCACCAUCCUCGCCACCACCACCGGGUGACUUGCCAUGGCCGGAGUGGGCUUCCUGCCCGCUUCACAAGCUCACGCAGUUCAACAUUCCAUAUUUUUAGCGUGACACGGACACUACUUGGGCCAUUGAGCUGCUCCAACUCCGGCAAUAGUUGGGCGUUUGCACUGUGACAGCGCCCACUUAUCCUCGUCUGGUACGACUCUUCUACCAGAACCUAUAUGAGUCACUCACCGAGGAUGGACUGCUAUCUACCAUUGAUGGUCAUAUUGUCCACAUCACCUCAUCCGUGAUUGCCACCGUGUUAGGGUUUUUUGCCAAGCCAGAAUAUCAGCCCUUCCCGGAAGUUGAGGAUCGAAAAACCCAUACAUAGCCUCAUCCAACAAUACUUCCCAAGGGCCCACGGUGACAACAGUUUCACAUGCUUGCAGCGGAACAAGCUGCCUAGCUGCUUGCUAUUCAUUGAUUCCGUGGUCCAUAAGAAUGUCCUUCCACUUGGGCAUAGAGCUCAGCACCGUUUGAAGUUUGUUCGGGUUUUACACGGUUAUCAGCAUGGCUAUCAGGUCCCACUUGAGCAUAUCAUCUGGAUACAUUUGCGAAAAUUUCUACGAGAGGUAGUUCGGUCUGAACCUAUGCAGAACCCGACUUGGCCACUGCCAUUUGCCAAUUUGUUGACACUUGUGUUUGAGCUGAACGGCCUCCCCAUUACUUAGAAUGAGGAGAUUGAUAAAGCAUAUUCGACUUUCGGCCAGCGGGAAUGGCAGCAUAGCAUAUCUCGCAUCCCGCAGCAGGUUGGUGCCCCAGUUGAUGAGGCCCAAGACCCCGUACACGACCACUCACCUCAUCCUGUUCCCCCCGUGCCUUCCCAAGGGGACCCACUCUACAUGACUCGCGAGGAGUACUUACAGCUUCAGCACUCUGUGGAUCAGGUCCACAGUACUCUUCGUGAUCACCACCAGAGUCUCAUGGAGUUGCGCACAGAUUUUCAGGCGCAUCGAGACUAUUCUCAGGUGACCUUCACCCAGCUACAUGCUCGCCAGCUCGACAUCCAGCAACGAGUUCAAGAUGAAGCCUUUGAGACGCGAUCUUUGAUGCAAGCCUUGUUUGCCCAGCAUUUCCCGCCACCACCACCAUCGGCUUCUCCAUAGUACCCAUUGUAUAUUGCUUUCUCUCUUUUAUUUUUAUUUCUUUUCAGUUAUUUCCUCUUCUCAAAAAUAAAUAAAAAAUAAAAAAAAAA